AAGAUUAANCCAUGCAUGUANAGUAUAAACGCUUUAAGCGUGAAACCGCGAACGGCUCAUUACAACAGCUAUAAUUUACUUGAUCUUGACAAACUUACAUGGAUAACUGAGGUAAUUCUUGAGCUAAUACAUGCACCAAAGCUUUGACCGCAAGGAAAGAGCGCAUUUGUUAGAACAAAACCAAACGGCUUCGGCUGUUCCCAGUUGAAUCAGAAUAACUCAGCUGAUCGUACGGUCUUGUACCGACGACGUGUCUUUCAAGUAUCUGCUUUAUCAACUUUCGAUGGUAGGGUAUCUGCCUACCAUGGUGGUGACGGAUAACGGAGGAUCAGGGUUCGACUCCGGAGAAGGGGCCUGAGAAAUGGCCACUACGUCUAAGGAUGGCAGCAGGCGCGCAAAUUACCCACUCUCAGAAUUUGGAGGAGGUAGUGACGAGAAAUAACGAGGUUGAUCUCUUCAGAGGCCAACCAUCGGAAUGGGUACAAUUUAAACCCUUUAACGAGUAUCUAUGAGAGGGCAAGUCUGGUGCCAGCAGCCGCGGUAAUUCCAGCUCUCAAAAUGCAUAGAAUUAUUGCUGCGGUUAAAAAGCUCGUAGUUGGAUCUGCAGCCGGGGCUUUGGUCUAUCUUCGGAUACGUACUGGAUGUCUCCGGCUUUCUGACAGUGUUUGGCUCUGUGCCCCUCAACGGGUGUAGAUGUCCGAUACUGUAAGUUUACUUUGAAUAAAUCAGAGUGCUCUAAACAGGCGUUUUGCUUGAAUGAUUGUGCAUGGAAUAAUAGAAGAGGAUUUCGGUUCUAUUUUAUUGGUUUUAUAGACUGAGAUAAUGGUUAACAGAGACAAACGGGGGCAUUUG
Molecule: ribosomal RNA, 852 nt
Filed under: Pratylenchus fallax
Lineage: Eukaryota; Metazoa; Nematoda; Chromadorea; Rhabditida; Pratylenchidae
Description: SSU rRNA
Rfam family: Eukaryotic small subunit ribosomal RNA
Source: RNAcentral